AGAAGACUGCUGCUGAUUUUAAACAUUAUUUAUAUUCUUUGUGUUUUAUCUGUUUUAACAAACACAGCAGCUGCUACAAGUUAAUUCAAUACAAUCAACUUUCUGAUGAGAAGCUGAAGACUACGACAGCCAUGUUGUUGGCAGAAGCUGGAUGUGUGUUUAUGGGUUUCAUGCUGUGUUUCUCAGGGGUUCAGGGACGAGCAAACAGCAUCUGUGCUUUAAAAGGUUCAUCAGUGGAUCUGCCCUGCUCAGCUGAACAUCCACCUACAAGCAUGAAAUGGUACAAAGUACAGCUGAUUGGAUCUACAUUUAAUCUGAAGAACCUCCCUGCAGAUGACAGUCAUGUUAAGUACAUGUUGGGAGAGAACAACUUCAAUCUAACAAUCAAAGAUCUGACAGAGAGAGAUGCAAAGCUUUACUGCUGCAGCAGCAAAGAGGAUGCAGGAACAUCCAGACAGAGUGAGCAAGGCAUGAUUGAGCUCCGUGUUGCAGGUACGGUGACCGUCAGUAAUGAAUUACUUUAAGUCUGACAUAAAUAUAUGAAUUCUUACUUUUCCUCCUCAUCCCCUCAGACCUGCAGGUGAAGGUGAUUCCCUCCACAGAGGGACACACAGUAACACUGAUGUGCAGCACCAGCUGCCCUCUGACUGAAAACCCUGCAGCCUACAUCUGGUACAAGAACAGAGAGUUUCUCUAUGAGGACUGGUCUCCCUGGUACCAACAGCUGGUCAGCAGUGAGGAAGCAGUCACAUACUCCUGUGCUAUCAAAGGCUACGAGGAUCUCAGAGCCCCUCAAGUCUCAGUGGAUUCUGUCACAUCAGCCUGCUUCAGUGUGACCUAUGCUAAAGGGAAAAUGUGUUCUUAUAAGCAGACAUCAGUGGAUGAGCCCUGCUCCAUCAUAUAUCCAACAGAAGUGCAUGUUCAAAACACUCCUGCAGCUGCACCAUUCCAUGUCAGACUGACCUGUAACACCAACUGUCCUCAGACUGAUCUUCAGACUGCCUUGAGAGUGUACAAGAGCAGUAACUCAGAGGGACAGAAUGAGGUAAUAAAGAAUGUAGUUCCCAUCUCAUCUCCUGAAAGCUUCUCCUGUGCCGUAAAAGGCCUCAAACAUCUACACUCUGCUGCAGUCUGUGCUGAGGAUAAGAACUGUUGGAGUGUGAAUUAUGUCAGCAGGAGAAUCUGUGCUGCUCACGGCUCCUCAGUGGACAUUUCAAGUGAAUAUUCUCAUCCUGACAACCAGCAGCCCCAGUCUAAAUUAUGGUAUAAAAUAAUCAGAAGUGGUAAGAAGGAUCCUGAAAAGCUGAGUGAGGUUGCAGGUCGCGUUGAGUACCAUGGAAACAUGAACAAUCAUCACACCCUGUCAAUUAAAGACCUGACGAGGAAUGACUCAGCAGAAUACAAAUUCAAGAUCCAGACACAAGACGGAUGGAAACAGUCAGAUUUUUCUGGAGUGACGUUGGUUGUAACAGGUCUUAAAGUGACGUUCACUCCCUCUGCAGUGGUGACAGAGGGUCAGAGAGUCACACUGACCUGCAACACCAGCUGUCCUCUGAACACAGACUACAUCUGGACCUUCAACAGUCGACCUCUGAACCUGCCAGAGAGCCAAAACAAACACCUGGUUCUAGACCCAGUCAGCAGUCAGCAUGAAGGAAGGUACUCCUGUAUGGUCAAAACUGGCAGAAGAACCAUUGGCUCAAGUGAAAAAACUCUGACUGUCCAAAAUGUUGAACAGGAACAAACAUCAGCAGCAGCUGCAGGAGUGUGUGCUGCUCUCCUGGUUUUAAUACUUCUCGCUGUCUUUUGCUGGAUUAGAAAAAAGAAGACACCCAGCCAAUCUCCACGGAGUGAAACCUCAAACAACUUGGAGCAGUUAAACCCUGGUCCUGUGUAUGACGAAAUCUCAGCUCAACCAACAGAGCAGGAUGAUCUUCACUACAGCAGUGUCCACUUCCAUCAGAAACACACAGAUGCUGUCUACAGCACCCUCCAGCCACAUCAGGCCCGAGAACAAGAGCACGUCCCCUAUGCUGUUGUCCACUUUAAAUCCAACAAAGCCCCCUGA
Long non-coding RNA from Sparus aurata (gilthead seabream), 2068 nucleotides. The record is from Ensembl. NCBI's taxonomy places the organism in Eukaryota, Metazoa, Chordata, Actinopteri, Spariformes, Sparidae.